AUUGAACGCUGGCGGCAGGCCUAACACAUGCAAGUCGAACGAGUGGCGGACGGGUGAGUAAUGUCUGGGAAACUGCCUGCUGGAGGGGGAUAACUAAUGGAAACGGUAGCUAAUACCGCAUACUAUCAGAAGUGCCCAGAUGGGAUUAGCUUGUUGGUGGGGUACCGGCUCACAAAGGCGACGAUCCCUAGCUGGUCUGAGAGGAUGACCAGCCCAACUGGAACUUAGACACGGGUCAGACUCUGACGGGAGGCAGCAGUGGGGAAUAUUGCACAAUGGGUGCAAGCCGUAUGCAGCCAUGCCGCGUGUAUGAAGAAGGCCUUCGGGUUGUAAAGUACGUGCAGCGGGGAGGGGUUACCCGCAGAAGAAGCACCGGCUAACUCCGUGCCAGCAGCCGCGGUAAUAC
RNAcentral lists this ribosomal RNA (406 nucleotides) under uncultured bacterium. Its description in RNAcentral is "partial 16S ribosomal RNA". It matches the Rfam family "Bacterial small subunit ribosomal RNA", at positions 30 to 526 of the family's 1533-position model. The record is from RNAcentral.